CCAGACUCCUACGGGAGGCAGCAGUGAGGAAUAUUGGUCAAUGGGCGAGAGCCUGAACCAGCCAAGUCGCGUGAAGGAUGAAGGAUCUAUGGUUUGUAAACUUCUUUUAUAUGGGAAUAAAGUGAGGAACGUGUUCCUUUUUGUAUGUACCAUAUGAAUAAGCAUCGGCUAACUCCGUGCCAGCAGCCGCGGUAAUACGGAGGAUGCGAGCGUUAUCCGGAUUUAUUGGGUUUAAAGGGUGCGUAGGCGGAACAUUAAGUCAGCGGUAAAAUCGAGGGGCUCAACCCCUUUAAGCCGUUGAAACUGGUGAUCUUGAGUGGGCGAGAAGUAUGCGGAAUGCGUGGUGUAGCGGUGAAAUGCAUAGAUAUCACGCAGAACUCCGAUUGCGAAGGCAGCAUACCGGCGCCCGACUGACGCUGAGGCACGAAAGCGUGGGGAUCGAACAGGAUUAGAUACCCUGGUAG
RNAcentral lists this ribosomal RNA (464 nucleotides) under uncultured bacterium. RNAcentral describes it as "bacterial SSU rRNA". It matches the Rfam family "Bacterial small subunit ribosomal RNA", at positions 331 to 793 of the family's 1533-position model. The record is from RNAcentral.